GCCUGAGUGGCUCAGUGGGUUGAGCAUCCGACUUCGGCUCAGGUCAUGAUCGAAUAGCUCGUGAGUUCGAGCCCCACGUCAGGCU
This 85-nucleotide transfer RNA is filed under the name Felis catus (domestic cat). It matches the Rfam family "tRNA". From Rfam's summary of the family: Transfer RNA (tRNA) molecules are approximately 80 nucleotides in length. Lineage: Eukaryota; Metazoa; Chordata; Mammalia; Carnivora; Felidae. The record is from Rfam by way of RNAcentral. RNAcentral also lists the same sequence under 2 other names.